RNAcentral lists this ribosomal RNA (448 nucleotides) under uncultured bacterium. RNAcentral describes it as "bacterial SSU rRNA". It matches the Rfam family "Bacterial small subunit ribosomal RNA", at positions 329 to 794 of the family's 1533-position model. The record is from RNAcentral.
UGCCAGACUCCUACGGGAGGCAGCAGUAGGGAAUUUUGCGCAAUGGGCGAAAGCCUGACGCAGCAACGCCGCGUGAUCGAGACGCCCUUCGGGGUGUAAAGAUCUGUCAGUGGGGACGAAACUUGACGGUACCCACAGAGGAAGCACCGGCUAACUCCGUGCCAGCAGCCGCGGUAAUACGGGGGGUGCAAGCGUUGUCCGGAAUCAUUGGGCGUAAAGAGUUCGUAGGCGGCACGUAAAGUCUGGUGUUAAAGGCAGAGGCUCAACUUCUGUACGGCACUGGAUACUUGCGAGCUAGAAUGCGGUAGAGGUAAAGGGAAUUCCUGGUGUAGCGGUGAAAUGCUUAGAUAUUGCGCAGAACUCCGAUUGCGAAGGCAGCAUACCGGCGGCGAUCUGACGCUGAGGCACGAAAGCGUGGGUAUCGAACAGGAUUAGAUACCCCCGUACU